This is a non-coding RNA of Gossypium hirsutum (cotton), 87 nucleotides long. The record is from Rfam. Lineage: Eukaryota; Viridiplantae; Streptophyta; Magnoliopsida; Malvales; Malvaceae.
CACGUCAGUGCGACUUGCUGACUUAGAAGGAAAUCGCGUCCUUGAGGGCACAAUUUUCUUCCACGCCAGCAGGUCGCGCUGACGUGG